AACGAACGCUGGCGGCAGGCCUAACACAUGCAAGUCGAACGCUCGUAGCAAUACGAGAGUGGCAGACGGGUGAGUAACGCGUGGGAACCUUCCCAGUGGUACGGAAUAGCCCAGGGAAACUUGGGGUAAUACCGUAUACGCCCUUACGGGGAAAGAUUUAUCGCCAUUGGAUGGGCCCGCGUAGGAUUAGCUAGUUGGUGAGGUAACGGCUCACCAAGGCGACGAUCCUUAGCUGGUCUGAGAGGAUGAUCAGCCACACUGGGACUGAGACACGGCC
Molecule: ribosomal RNA, 277 nt
Filed under: uncultured bacterium
Lineage: Bacteria
Description: partial 16S ribosomal RNA
Rfam family: Bacterial small subunit ribosomal RNA
Source: RNAcentral